RNAcentral lists this ribosomal RNA (1068 nucleotides) under 'Prunus cerasus' phytoplasma. RNAcentral's name for it is "bacterial SSU rRNA". It matches the Rfam family "Bacterial small subunit ribosomal RNA", at positions 207 to 1284 of the family's 1533-position model. Lineage: Bacteria; Bacillati; Mycoplasmatota; Mollicutes; Acholeplasmatales; Acholeplasmataceae. The record is from RNAcentral.
CAAUAGGUAUGCUUAGGGAGGAGCUUGCGUCACAUUAGUUAGUUGGUGGGGUAAAGGCCUACCAAGACUAUGAUGUGUAGCCGGGCUGAGAGGUUGAACGGCCACAUUGGGACUGAGACACGGCCCAAACUCCUACGGGAGGCAGCAGUAGGGAAUUUUCGGCAAUGGAGGAAACUCUGACCGAGCAACGCCGCGUGAACGAUGAAGUAUUUCGGUACGUAAAGUUCUUUUAUUAGGGAAGAAUAAAUGAUGGAAAAAUCAUUCUGACGGUACCUAAUGAAUAAGCCCCGGCUAACUAUGUGCCAGCAGCCGCGGUAAUACAUAGGGGGCAAGCGUUAUCCGGAAUUAUUGGGCGUAAAGGGUGCGUAGGCGGUUAAAUAAGUUUAUGGUCUAAGUGCAAUGCUCAACAUUGUGAUGCUAUAAAAACUGUUUAGCUAGAGUAAGAUAGAGGCAAGUGGAAUUCCAUGUGUAGUGGUAAAAUGCGUAAAUAUAUGGAGGAACACCAGUAGCGAAGGCGGCUUGCUGGGUCUUUACUGACGCUGAGGCACGAAAGCGUGGGGAGCAAACAGGAUUAGAUACCCUGGUAGUCCACGCCGUAAACGAUGAGUACUAAACGUUGGGUAAAACCAGUGUUGAAGUUAACACAUUAAGUACUCCGCCUGAGUAGUACGUACGCAAGUAUGAAACUUAAAGGAAUUGACGGGACUCCGCACAAGCGGUGGAUCAUGUUGUUUAAUUCGAAGGUACCCGAAAAACCUCACCAGGUCUUGACAUGCUUCUGCAAAGCUGUAGAAACACAGUGGAGGUUAUCAGUUGCACAGGUGGUGCAUGGUUGUCGUCAGCUCGUGUCGUGAGAUGUUGGGUUAAGUCCCGCAACGAGCGCAACCCUUAUUGUUAGUUACCAGCACGUAAUGGUGGGGACUUUAGCAAGACUGCCAGUGAUAAAUUGGAGGAAGGUGGGGACGACGUCAAAUCAUCAUGCCCCUUAUGACCUGGGCUACAAACGUGAUACAAUGGCUGUUACAAAGGGUAGCUGAAGCGCAAGUUUUUGGCGAAUCUCAAAAAACA